This 118-nucleotide small nuclear RNA is filed under the name Salvator merianae (Argentine black and white tegu). RNAcentral's name for it is "U5 spliceosomal RNA (ENSSMRG00000020642.1)". It matches the Rfam family "U5 spliceosomal RNA". Rfam says of the family: U5 RNA is a component of both types of known spliceosome. The precise function of this molecule is unknown, though it is known that the 5' loop is required for splice site selection and p220 binding, and that both the 3' stem-loop and the Sm site are important for Sm protein binding and cap methylation. Lineage: Eukaryota; Metazoa; Chordata; Lepidosauria; Squamata; Teiidae. The record is from Rfam by way of RNAcentral.
AUACUCUCGUUUCUCUUCAGAUUGUAUAGAUCAUUCGCCUUUUACUAAAUAUUUCCAUGGAGAGGAACAUUUAUGAGUUUGUAACUAAUUUUUUGAGGUCCUCAAUUUAAAAAAGACA